This 711-nucleotide ribosomal RNA is filed under the name Xanthoria montana. Its description in RNAcentral is "mitochondrial SSU rRNA". It matches the Rfam family "Bacterial small subunit ribosomal RNA", at positions 371 to 1125 of the family's 1533-position model. Lineage: Eukaryota; Fungi; Ascomycota; Lecanoromycetes; Teloschistales; Teloschistaceae. The record is from RNAcentral.
AUAGCCUAACGGCUGAACCAGCAACUUGGAGGAAUGUAUAGCAAUAGCUAUUUGCACUAAAGAUUUUAGUGUAAAAUCGACUUUGUCGAAUAAAAUUCUGGAUAGAAUUAUGAUAAUGACAUUAUCUGUCCAUAAGUCUUGACCAAAUUACGUGCCAGCAGUCGCGGUAAUACGUAGAAGACAAGUGUUAUUCAUCUUUAAUAGGUUUAAAGGGUACUUAGACGGUAAGUAAAGCCUCCAAAAGGUACUAGUUUGCUAGAGUUUUAUGUGAAGGAGUUUUAAAGUACUACUGGUGUAGAGAUGAAAUUCAGUUAUACCUUACAUGGCACAGGUUAAGGCGAAAGCAUCUUCUUAUGUAAAAACUGACGUUGAAGGACGAAGGCUUUGUGUCUCGAACAGGAUUAGAUACCCUAGUAGUCUAAGCAGAAAAUGAUGAAUGUCAUAGAUUAGAUUUAAUUUGAUCUGUAAAUGAAAGUGUAAGCAUUCCACCUCAAGAGUAAUUUGGCAACAUUGGAACUGAAAUCAUUAGACCGUUUCUGAAACCAGUAGUGAAGUAUGUUGUUUAAUUUGAUAAUCCGCAAAAAACCUUACCACAAUUUGAAUAGAUAUAUUUUAUCAUACAAGCGUUGCACGGCUGUCUUCAGUUAAUGUCGUGAGACUUUGGUUAGUUCCAUUAAAUUAACGUAAACCCUUACUUUAUUUUUAAAAAAA